GUGGGGAAUCUUCCGCAAUGGACGAAAGUCUGACGGAGCAACGCCGCGUGAGUGAUGAAGGUCUUCGGAUUGUAAAGCUCUGUUAAUCGGGACGAAAGAGCCUAGUGUGAAUAAUGCUAGGAAGUGACGGUACCGGAAUAGAAAGCCACGGCUAACUACGUGCCAGCAGCCGCGGUAAUACGUAGGUGGCAAGCGUUGUCCGGAAUUAUUGGGCGUAAAGCGCGCGCAGGCGGAUCUGCCAGUCUGUCUUAAAAGUUCGGGGCUUAACCCCGUGAUGGGAUGGAAACUACAGAUCUAGAGUAUCGGAGAGGAAAGUGGAAUUCCUAGUGUAGCGGUGAAAUGCGUAGAUAUUAGGAAGAACACCAGUGGCGAAGGCGACUUUCUGGACGAAAACUGACGCUGAGGCGCGAAAGCCAGGGGAGCGAACAGGAUUAGAAACCCUGGUAGUCC
RNAcentral lists this ribosomal RNA (450 nucleotides) under uncultured bacterium. Its description in RNAcentral is "partial 16S ribosomal RNA". It matches the Rfam family "Bacterial small subunit ribosomal RNA", at positions 354 to 796 of the family's 1533-position model. The record is from RNAcentral.